RNAcentral lists this ribosomal RNA (274 nucleotides) under uncultured bacterium. RNAcentral's name for it is "partial 16S ribosomal RNA". It matches the Rfam family "Bacterial small subunit ribosomal RNA", at positions 523 to 796 of the family's 1533-position model. The record is from RNAcentral.
AUACGAAGGGGGCUAGCGUUGUUCGGAUUUACUGGGCGUAAAGCGCACGUAGGCGGAUUGAUAAGUUAGGGGUGAAAUCCCGAGGCUCAACCUCGGAACUGCCUCUAAUACUGUCAAUCUCGAGACCGGAAGAGGUGAGUGGAACUCCUAGUGUAGAGGUGGAAUUCGUAGAUAUUAGGAAGAACACCAGUGGCGAAGGCGGCUCACUGGUCCGGUACUGACGCUGAGGUGCGAAAGCGUGGGGAACGAACAGGAUUAGAAACCCUAGUAGUCC